GUAUUGAUUGCGUGUGACCGCAAAAUAAAUAAAUAAAAAGAACAUUCUACACUGUAUCAAGUUUUGUGUGAAAACGCAAGCCCUCCUGCAAAGGGGGGCCCACGCGGUGAUGCACAAAAGGGGUGAGAUGGAUGUGUGAGAGCGCUUUGGGCGUGCACAACCUUUGAGGGUCAGCGACAGCCCUUGGCACCUCGGUUGUACGAUAAUGAUCCUUCCGCAGGUUCACCUACGGAAA
Molecule: unclassified non-coding RNA, 235 nt
Filed under: uncultured fungus
Lineage: Eukaryota; Fungi
Description: sequence contains ITS1
Source: RNAcentral